This 87-nucleotide transfer RNA is filed under the name Sphingomonadales bacterium. RNAcentral's name for it is "tRNA-Leu". It matches the Rfam family "tRNA". From Rfam's summary of the family: Transfer RNA (tRNA) molecules are approximately 80 nucleotides in length. Their secondary structure includes four short double-helical elements and three loops (D, anti-codon, and T loops). The record is from RNAcentral. Lineage: Bacteria; Pseudomonadati; Pseudomonadota; Alphaproteobacteria; Sphingomonadales.
GCCCAGGUGGCGAAAUUGGUAGACGCGCUACUUUGAGGUGGUAGUGGCCGAAAGGCUGUGCUGGUUCGAAUCCAGUCUUGGGCACAA